This is a long non-coding RNA of Neogale vison (American mink), 1135 nucleotides long. RefSeq lists it as uncharacterized. The record is from RefSeq and is a predicted model, not a curated record. NCBI's taxonomy places the organism in Eukaryota, Metazoa, Chordata, Mammalia, Carnivora, Mustelidae. The transcript has 4 exons.
AGGCAGUGGUCUCAGCGGGAGGAGCUGAAUGAGCCCGGAGCGAGGAGCUGCGUGCAGAGAGCGUGGUGGCGUCCACGGUUCUGAGCAUGAGGAGCCGCGCGUGAUGGCAAGACCCAAUCGUAAAUAACCAAGAAGAUAUUGUUGAUGUGGUGAAAACCAGCCCUUUUGUGCUCAGGGCAUUUUCAUCAAUGACCAUGAACCUGGAUUAUGGACCCUCACAAAUAUGAAGAAACUCUCAAGGAAUCAUGCCAGGAACAGAGGCUUGGCCACAAAGGACAUCUCGACUAUUCAAAAGAUAAAAAUCUGAAUCAGCCAAAAGAAGAUAUGCAUUGGGCAGAAUCUGGGACUGAGAAGACUCCAAGCUUGAAGCUUGCAUGUCCUCAAGGAAGUGUUACUCUCCUGGUGGCCAUACACACAUGGAGUGUGGUCAGGGCUAGCAUUCAGCAUGGAAAGAUCAUGAGCAGGAUGGAGCCCACAAACACCAACUGGAACCCCUUGAGGAGAGACUGAAAUCUGUGCCCAUUCUUGUUAAUUCUGACAUUGGUGACAAAGGUAUCUUGCAGAAGCCAGGCCUUGUGUCAUGGAACUAAACAUGCAAGCCUGGCUUGGGUGCCAGAGAAGUGGAAGGAUGAUCCAGAGGAAGGUAAAACAAUUUCAAGACUAACUGCAAUUCCUUCCUGCCUGUGGGACACAUUAGGAGAUCAGUAACAACGUGUGAGAGAAGUCUAACUGGAAACAUAAAAGAAAGGGAACUCUGGGAAACGUAGCUCAGCCUAGCCAAGUUGGCACAUUACAAAGUCAUCAUACUCAGAAAGAAGGAAAAUAUAUUGGAUCUGAGAAUUUAUACUUACCAAAUUUGAAAAAUGGUUGCCAUUAUUUCUUCAUAUUUGUUUCUGCUCCCUAUUCUUUUAGGAUUCCAAUUACACAUAUGUAAUCACGUCUCACAGAUAAUUAAGACUCUUUCAUUAUUUUUCUAGCCAUUUUCUCUCCAUGUUUCAUGUUAGAUUCUGUUUGCUAUGUUUUCAAGUUCACUGUUCUUUUCUUCUGCAGAGUCCAGCCAGCUGUUAAAUCUAUCUGGUAAAUUUUCAUUUCAGGUUUUGUAUUUUAUAACACUAAAAGUUACUUUUAUAUGAUU